AAACUAGAGGCUCUAAAGAGCCUGUGUCGCUCACCUUGGUCUAUGUGAAUAUUAAACAAUGGACACAGAUGGAAUCAUGACAAAAUUGUGUUUUGGUGAUGGUGAUGUGUUUGUAGAUUUUACUUUACUAAACAUUCUUGCUGCUUACAAUUAUCUCUAUAUCACAGUACUUUCUGUGGAAAAUGUUAUUGAAAAUCUUCAAAUUUUAAGAAAAUUGUUAUAAAUUGACUAUGAAGGGCAAUAACUCCUUAGGGGGUCAAUUGACUAUUGAUCACUAUUUUGGUCAUAGUGACUUAUUUUUAGUUCUUACUUUGCAGUACAUUAUUGCUGUUUACAGUUUAUCUCUAUCUAUAAUAAUAUUCAAGAUAACAAAAAAACAGCAAAAUUUCCUCAAAAUUACCAAUUCAGGGGCAGCAACCUAACAACCGAUUAUCUGAUUCAUCUGAAAAUUCCAGGGCAGAUAGAUCGUGACCUGAUCAACAAUUUUACUUCCUGUCAGAUUUGCUCUUAAUGCUUUGGUUUUUGAGUUAUAAGCCAAAAACUGCAUUUUACCCCCAUGUUCUAUUUUUAGCCAUGGCGGCCAUCUUGGUUUGUUGGCCGAGUUACCGGACACAUUUCUUUAACUAGAUACCCCAAUGAUGAUUAUGGCUAAGUUUGGUUAAAUUUGGCCCAGUAGUUUCAGAGGAGAAGAUUUUUCUAAAAGAUUACUAAGAUUUAUGAAAAAUGGUUAAAAAUUGACUAUAAAGGGCAAUAACUCCUAAAGUGGUCAACUGACCAUUUUUGUCAUGUUAACUUAUUUGUAGAUCUUACUUUGCUGAACAUUAUUGCUGUUUACAGUUUAUC
Molecule: long non-coding RNA, 843 nt
Filed under: Mytilus galloprovincialis (Mediterranean mussel)
Lineage: Eukaryota; Metazoa; Mollusca; Bivalvia; Mytilida; Mytilidae
Source: RNAcentral